AACGAACGCUGGCGGCAUGCCUAACACAUGCGAGUCGAACGAGACCUUCGGGUCUAGUGGCGCACGGGUGCGUAACGCGUGGGAACCUGCCCUUAGGUUCGGAAUAACUCCCCGAAAGGGGUGCUAAUACCGGAUAAUGUCUUCGGACCAAAGAUUUAUCGCCUUUGGAUGGGCCCGCGUUGGAUUAGCUAGUUGGUAGGGUAAAAGCCUACCAAGGCGACGAUCCAUAGCUGGUCUGAGAGGAUGAUCAGCCACACUGGGACUGAGACACGGCCCAGACUCCUACGGGAGGCAGCAGUGGGGAAUAUUGGACAAGGGGCGAAAGCCUGAUCCAGCAAUGCCGCGUGAGUGAUGAAGGCCGUAGGGUUGUAAAGCUCUUUUACCCGGGAUGAUAAUGACAGUACCGGGAGAAUAAGCUCCGGCUAACUCCGUG
RNAcentral lists this ribosomal RNA (433 nucleotides) under uncultured bacterium. Its description in RNAcentral is "partial 16S ribosomal RNA". It matches the Rfam family "Bacterial small subunit ribosomal RNA", at positions 29 to 507 of the family's 1533-position model. The record is from RNAcentral.